This 253-nucleotide ribosomal RNA is filed under the name uncultured bacterium. RNAcentral describes it as "partial 16S ribosomal RNA". It matches the Rfam family "Bacterial small subunit ribosomal RNA", at positions 524 to 776 of the family's 1533-position model. The record is from RNAcentral.
UACGAAGGGGGCUAGCGUUGCUCGGAAUCACUGGGCGUAAAGCGCACGUAGGCGGACUCUUAAGUCGGUGGUGAAAUCCCGAGGCUCAACCUCGGAACUGCCUUUGAUACUGGGGAUCUCGAGUCCGGGAGAGGUGAGUGGAACUGCGAGUGUAGAGGUGAAAUUCGUAGAUAUUCGCAAGAACACCAGUGGCGAAGGCGGCUCACUGGCCCGGAACUGACGCUGAGGUGCGAAAGCGUGGGGAGCAAACAGG